GUCGUAACAAGGUUUCCGUAGGUGAACCUGCGGAAGGAUCAUUACCACACCUCUUUUCUCUUGACAGACCCUGGCGGACUACUCUCUCGGGAGUACGUCCCCAGACUGACAAGGCAAAAAACAAGAGAAGGAUGCGGGAUGCCUAAAAAACAUCCCAAGUCUAACCCUUGCGUCCCAAGGAAAUAAACUUUUAGUGUUCGGGGUGUUAGUCGCCGCUUCGGCGUCUUGCACUCCCCACUAGAAACCCCAAAACAAACCUAGUCACAUUUUUAAUGUAACUCUGAUUGAAAUUCUCAUAAAUUCGAAUACCCACUGAGUUUAUUCUCUCUGGUGACGAUAAAAAUUAAUGAAAAAACACUUUCAGCAACGGAUGUCUUGGCUCCCAU
This 386-nucleotide unclassified non-coding RNA is filed under the name fungal sp. Its description in RNAcentral is "partial internal transcribed spacer region". The stretch from base 1 to 44 matches the Rfam family "Eukaryotic small subunit ribosomal RNA", at positions 1788 to 1831 of the family's 1831-position model. The record is from RNAcentral. Lineage: Eukaryota; Fungi.